Long non-coding RNA from Hirundo rustica (Barn swallow), 2399 nucleotides. RefSeq lists it as uncharacterized. The transcript has 4 exons. The record is from RefSeq and is a predicted model, not a curated record. Lineage: Eukaryota; Metazoa; Chordata; Aves; Passeriformes; Hirundinidae.
GGAGGAGGGAGAGCGCUGGGUAAAACUGGUGGAAACAAAAUCAGGUCGCCUGUGGAUGGAAAUUCAUCCCAGAGUUUGGCUCUGCUGCCGGAGGGGAAGGUGCGAUGAGGCUGUGGCUCUGCUCACAGAAAAGUUAAUUAGAGGAGGCUGGGAUCUGAGAAGUGAGAAGUACCAUUGCCGAAGCAGCUCCUCCGAGCUCCUUUUAUUGCUCCUCUGACCUGAACAGGAGCACAGACCUCAUUCUUGCUCCUUCCAUGCCAUAUUUCCACCAAACGGCUACAACGUGGGAAGCAGCCAGGAAUUAUCAGAUGCUCAGAUAAGAUGGAUCCCAUGGCUGAGUUGCAGUUUUUCGGCAGAUUUCAGGAAGGACGCUUGGAGAAGUUUGCUGAGCCAAGGGAUCUCCACGGAGAGGAAGCAGCACCAAAGGACAGACAGCUUCCAGGAACAAUCUGCUGAGCUCACAAAUCCAAAGGUGAUUUGUUGAGCUGUCACCUCUCGGCGGAGGGGUUUGAAAACCCCGCUCUUUUCCAGGGGCCUCUUCCAUCACCACUGGUAAUAAGGAAUCCGGGACUGGAAACUGCCUGACACGCUGCUGAUGGAUGCACAAGGCUGAGUAAACUCCAGCUUUUGCUCUGCCACAGCUCCCUCUGCUUAUCAGGGAUAAUAAGGAGCCGUAAUUCAGCCUCAGUUUGAGUUAACGCAGAGGUGCACGCAAGGAAGAUUAAAAAAAGCAGGAUGGUCUAGUGGGUUAAGACAGCUCUGAGGCCUUAAUUCAAUCCCAAAUUUAAAAUAAUCGUGGUGGCUGUGCUCUACACUGCCUCGCCCAACUGUGAGAAAAGCAGUGUAGAAUUAGUCAAAGUUAUUCAUAUGGAGAGAAUUUCUUUUAACGGGAUUGCUUUUUUUUUUUUUUUUUGACCAAAGCAGGUAGAGGGACUGCCCAAGGUUUCAAGGAGCUUUUCCCAAGAUUUCGAGGAACAUUUCCCAAAUGGUUUUCAUGGUUCUGUCAUGAGCUUUCCCAAAUGGUGAAAGACACCUGUGCCACAUGAUGGGGAAAAAUAGAAACUGUUGUGGGGUAGCUGGAGAAAGGCUGUAGUUGAAUGUAUUAUCCAAAUCUCCUGAUUUGUGGGAAUUAGUGGCUCAAAUAAAGCAGAACUCAUUUUCUUCCUUUCUCACAGUGCACAAACAGGAGAAUGCGGAAAGGAUAGAAAAGGGAAAUAGAAAAAAAAAAAAAAAAGGAAAUAAUAAAAAAAUGAACUUUAAAAAAACCCUUAAUACUAAAAAAAAACCUUAAUAAAAACCCUUUUUGCAUUGGAAAAAAAAGAAAAAACCAAAACAAUUUGGGAGUUACCAGAUCAUUGGUAGUAACACCAUCACAUAUUAUAAAUGCAGCUGCUGACAAGUUCUAGUGCAGGUUCCCGUUGCCUCUCAAAAACUGAAUGGAAAAGAAGGAAUAAGCCAACUUUCCAGUGAAGGGUUUGGAAACAGCUUGCAAUAAAGACAAGUUUGUCAUUGCCCUGGUGACCGCUUGCUUGGAUGGAGACUGGAGGAGCAGCCAGAUCAUUCCUUCAACCCCCAAAACCCAAAACUACCUUCCCGAUACCUGUGCAGGAGCUCAGCUGGAGAACAUGGAGAUGACAUUGCUCCGGCUCCAAAACUUGGUGUAAGGGUGUGAAAUGCCGGGUUCCCCUCCCCAAACACCCAGAGCUAAUUAGUCCAUGUGGAACGAAGCUGCUGCUGCCAGAGCUAGCAGGGGUUCCUCUCCUCGGUGCCACGCAGACACGGGGGAACAGUCAGGCAAAAAUAAACCAGCACAACUGAAAACGUCCCGGGCUUGCCGUGGCAGAAAAAAAAAAAAAAGCCAAUCACACAAGUGAUGAUAUUGAGAAAAAUCACUUCAUUUCUUCCGUGGAAAAUAUUCAAAGGCGGUCAAGAUGCCAAAAAAAAUUAAGUCAUGCUUUUAUAACCCAUUAGGAGAUGGAGAAAAAUGAGGGAUGAUCACUUCCUUUAGAUACCUUAAAAAUCAGGUAACUCACUUGCCCGUGUAAAAACAUGCAUAGGUUAUGAAUUUUUAUUUCCAGAACAUGUCAUCUCUAUGACUGACACGCUCAGAGUAUAAUUUUCCCUGUGCAAAGGUGGAGCAAUUUUGGUUAGGCAACGUUUAUUGCUUUGCAUUCUUCUUUUUUUUUUUUUUUUUAAUUGAAUUAACUACAUUUUAAAUCAGUGUUUUCAGAGAAAGCUCAUUGGGAAGAAAUUUGGCCUAAUGAGACCCGAAGUUGUGGAGCCAGAAAUCCAAAGUCCUUUUUUCAAGAGCUGUUAAAGCCUGGUCCAAACUGAAAGAGGAGGAAAGAGUCCCGUGGACUCUUCAAAGGGUCUGACUCAGGCAGCUUUUUCUCUGUGGC